GACGAACGCUGGCGGCGUGCUUAACACAUGCAAGUCGAACGGAAAGGCCCGGCUUUUGUGGGGUGCUCGAUUGGCGAACGGGUGAGUGACACGUGAGUAACCUGCCCUUGACUUUGGGGUAACUUCAGGAAACUGGGGCUAAUACCGGAUAGGAUCUCCUGCUGCAUGGUGUUGGUUGGUAAAUUUCGGCUGUUGUGGCUGGACUCGCGGGUUAUCAGCUUGUUGGUGAGGUAGUUGCAUACCAAGGCUUUGACGGGUAGCCGGCCUGAGAGCGUGACCGGCCACAUUGGGCCUGAGAUACGGACCAGUAUGCUACGGUCGGCAGCAGGGGGGAGUCUUACGCAACGGGGGGAAGUCUGAGGCAGAAGCGCUGGGUGCGGGAUGCUGGCUUUUGGGUGGUAAACAGAUUUGGAAUGUGCCAAAGAGUGCGUGACGGUAACGGGUCAAAAAGCAACGGCUAACUACGUG
Molecule: ribosomal RNA, 468 nt
Filed under: uncultured bacterium
Lineage: Bacteria
Description: partial 16S ribosomal RNA
Rfam family: Bacterial small subunit ribosomal RNA
Source: RNAcentral